AACUCGCCUGCAUGAAGGAGGAAUCGCUAGUAAUCGCAGGUCAGCAUACUGCGGUGAAUCCGUUCCCGGGCCUUGUACACACCGCCCGUCACACCAUGGGAGUUGGCCACGCCCGAAGUCGUUACUCUAACCGUUCGCGGAGGAGGGCGCCGAAGGUGGGGCUGAUGACUGGGGUGAAGUCGUAACAAGGUAGCCGUACCGGAAGGUGUGGCUGGAUCACCUCCUUUU
RNAcentral lists this ribosomal RNA (228 nucleotides) under Gammaproteobacteria bacterium. RNAcentral describes it as "partial 16S ribosomal RNA". It matches the Rfam family "Bacterial small subunit ribosomal RNA", at positions 1309 to 1533 of the family's 1533-position model. Lineage: Bacteria; Pseudomonadati; Pseudomonadota; Gammaproteobacteria. The record is from RNAcentral.